RNAcentral lists this ribosomal RNA (376 nucleotides) under uncultured organism. Its description in RNAcentral is "partial 16S ribosomal RNA". It matches the Rfam family "Bacterial small subunit ribosomal RNA", at positions 526 to 896 of the family's 1533-position model. The record is from RNAcentral.
GGAGGGGUGCGAGCGUUAAUCGGGAAUUACUGGGGCGUAAAGCGCGCGUAGGCGGGCUUGGUCAGUCGGGAUGUGAAAGCCCCGGGGCUUAACCUGGGAAUUGCAUUCGAUACUGCCAAGCUAGAGUAUGGGAGAGGGAAGCGGAAUUUCCGGUGUAGCGGUGAAAUGCGUAGAUAUCGGAAGGAACACCAGUGGCGAAGGCGGCUUCCUGGCCCAAUACUGACGCUCAGGUGCGAAAGCGUGGGGAGCGAACAGGAUUAGAUACCCUGGUAGUCCACGCCGUAAACGAUGAGAACUAGAUGUCGGGAGGAUUUGCCUCUCGGUGUCGCAGCUAACGCGUUAAGUUCUCCGCCUGGGGAGUACGCCGGCAACGGUA